This 446-nucleotide ribosomal RNA is filed under the name uncultured bacterium. RNAcentral describes it as "partial 16S ribosomal RNA". It matches the Rfam family "Bacterial small subunit ribosomal RNA", at positions 354 to 796 of the family's 1533-position model. The record is from RNAcentral.
GUAGGGAAUAUUGGACAAUGGGGGGAACCCUGAUCCAGCCAUGCCGCGUGGAGGAAGACUGCCCUCUGGGUUGUAAACUCCUUUUAUAUGGGAAGAACCGUCCUCAUUAAUGAGUGACCUGACGGUACCAUAGGAAUAAGCACCGGCUAACUCCGUGCCAGCAGCCGCGGUAAUACGGAGGGUGCAAGCGUUAUCCGGAUUCACUGGGUUUAACGGGUGCGUAGGCGGAUAAAUAAGUCAGUGGUGAAAUCAACGGGCUCAACCUGUUAACUGCCAUUGAUACUGUGUAUCUUGAAUAUGAGAGAGGUAGGCGGAAUGUUGCAUGUAGCGGUGAAAUGCUUAGAUAUGCUACGGAACACCGAUUGCGAAGGCAGCUUACUAUUUCGUAAUUGACGCUGAGGCACGAAAGCGUGGGUAGCGAACAGGAUUUGAUACCCUAGUAGUCC